UUAAUUCGAUGCAACGCGAAAACCUUACCUACCUUGACAUGUCCGGAAUCCCGAAGAGAUUUGGGGGUGCUCGCAAGAGAACCGGAACACAGGUGCUGUAUGGCUGUCGUCAGCUCGUGUCGUGAGAUGUUGGGUUAAGUCCCGCAACGAGCGCAACCCUUGUCAUUAGUUGCCAUCAUUUGGUUGGGCACUCUAAUGAGACUGCCGGUGACAAACCGGAGGAAGGUGGGGAUGACGUCAAGUCCUCAUGGCCCUUAUGGGUAGGGCUUCACACGUCAUACAAUGGUCGGUACAGAGGGUUGCCAACCCGCGAGGGGGAGCUAAUCCCACAAAGCCGAUCGUAGUCCGGAUCGCAGUCUGCAACUCGACUGCGUGAAGUCGGAAUCGCUAGUAAUCGUGGAUCAGCAUGUCACGGUGAAUACGUUCCCGGGUCUU
This 435-nucleotide ribosomal RNA is filed under the name uncultured Rhodocyclaceae bacterium. RNAcentral describes it as "bacterial SSU rRNA". It matches the Rfam family "Bacterial small subunit ribosomal RNA", at positions 946 to 1382 of the family's 1533-position model. The record is from RNAcentral. Lineage: Bacteria; Pseudomonadati; Pseudomonadota; Betaproteobacteria; Rhodocyclales; Rhodocyclaceae.